RNAcentral lists this transfer RNA (74 nucleotides) under Planctomycetota bacterium. RNAcentral's name for it is "tRNA-Arg". It matches the Rfam family "tRNA". Rfam says of the family: Transfer RNA (tRNA) molecules are approximately 80 nucleotides in length. Their secondary structure includes four short double-helical elements and three loops (D, anti-codon, and T loops). The record is from RNAcentral. Lineage: Bacteria; Pseudomonadati; Planctomycetota.
GCACCCGUAGCUCAGCUGGAAGAGCAACCGCCUUCUAAGCGGUCGGUCGCGUGUUCGAAUCUCGCCGGGUGCGC